GCAAGACUCUAUGGACCCCCAUGGCUGGGCCUCGGGGGAGGUGAGGACAGGCUUCCAAAAGGAGAGGAUGCUUAUUGCUGCCUCAUGAAGGAUGGGUAAGAGUUAGGGAGGCAAAAGUCGGGAGGGACUAGCAGAGGAAAGCUCAUGUGUAAAAGGACAGAGGUACCAUUUAUUCAGUAAGUAUUUACUGAACACCUAAUGUGGAUCAGGCACAGUUCUAGGCACAGGGAAUACAGCAAUGAACCAAAGCCGAAAAUCGGUGCCCUCAUGGAGCUUACAGUGUAGUGGUGGGGGCUGGGCACAGACCACAAGCAAACACAUCGGUAAUGUGUCAGAUGGUAACAAGUACUAUAAGCAGAGAGGAGAGAUAGAGAGUACUUGGGGGGGGGGGGCAUUGCAAUAUUAAAUAUGAGGAUCAAGAAAGGCCUCAAUGAGGAUAUGACCUUCCUCAAGCAAUGACCUGAAGAAUGUGGAGGAAGGAGCCAUGUGGGUAUCUGUGUUCCAAGCAAAGGCAGUGGCUCAUGCAAAGGCCCUGAGGCAGGAGCCUCUCUGGCAUGUUUAAGUUCAGCAGGAAGAUCAGCGGAGUGGAGGGGAAGAAUUGGACUGAAGUGGGAGCAGGAGCCAGACCAAGAAAAGUCUCGGAUGCCAUCGAGAGGAGGAUGGAUUUUCUUCUGAAGGUGACAGGUUAUUCUAUCAGCCACCAGGAAAAACCCAGAGAUCUUCUGUAAGACGUUGCCCCCACCUGAAGCGUGUGCUAUGUGCGCAGAAUGAACAGGUUGUUUCUGGGUGGCUGUGUCCAGUGCGUGCUGCUCCCAUUAAUCAGUACAAAUACUGGUCCUUUUUCGCCUGCAAGAUGUGUGCUUUGGAGAUGAGCUAACAAAGGCACAGAAGGGCUGAGCGACGCACUGAAAGUUGCACAGCUUGUAUGGGACAGUCAGGCCCAGCUCUGUCUGUCUGCAAAGCCCAUACUCUGCAGGCUGCUUUAGACUGAGGCUCCCAUAACACUCCCAGAAAGGAGAAUUCGAGCAUCCCGCUUCUCCUGUCUCCGCCCUCACACCUGCUCUGCCGAGGUACCUGAGGGGCUCAGAAGACCUGCACAGGGUCCCUGGGGUCUUAUCAGCAAAGGCGCAGCCAGAGUGAUGUGUCCUGGAAUAAGGGCUGGCGUUUCAUCGAGAACUUGCCCAAGAGACACUUUUGGGUGGUUAGGUGAGAGACUUAUUUAUGGGGCUGCCCGGGGCAUCCCAGACCUCUAUCCAGGGUGGAGGAAAGCCAGGCGUCAGCCUCAGACAGCAGGAGACUCAAGACACACGAUGGAAACCGCGCUGACACCUUCGCCUUCCCGCGCGCUUGGUUGCCUAGCAACCGAAAGUGACGAGCUGCCAACUCACUGAUGCGAUCGCAGUGGGGAGAUCAGAAUAUGAGAUCAAUUCAGGCUCUCUGACUCUGUGGGAUGCUUUCAAAGGCUUUACUGCUUUAUUACCUUCCCAAGACAGAGUAAAUGGCAUAUUGAACUAAGCCAGGAGAGCAAAAUAUAGGAUACAUAUGGCACCAUGUCCACUCCUUCAUCUGUGGCGGACAUUACUAAUCAAUCAUGGAGCUUAACCCAACUGUCCUGGCAAUCAUUAAUUAAUCAGAGCUGGCACGAGUAAUAAAACUUUUUGACAGAAGUGACAGCUUUGGGGGACGAUCACUUGAUAUUUUGCCCUGGAAAUUUUGACCUUUUCUUGAAAUUUCUUUGUAAAUGUAUCUGGUGGGUAUAUCAGAAAGACUGUGGACUGUCUGAUGCCAGAGUUAGCAUUUUAAAAAAUGAAUGAAUGCUCUACCAUAUCUGCAUAUCAAGCCCAUGGGAGACAUGACUGAUCCGUCCCACCAUAUUUUCUCAUCCAGUCUGAACUGAGCCUCAGAAUCUUCCUCACCACAACAUGCCAGACAACAACUUGAUAUGUAAGGUAAAACCUUUGAUCAUCCUUGAAAUACUGGGCUUUAACUUGAAUAACAUGCUCCUCCUUCAUCUGUGCAACUUUCAUCCUUAAAAUCCAGAGUGACCCAUUUCCUCUGAAGUAAAAAUGAGGACAUAUUCUUAUAGGUAUGUGAAGAAUUGACUCCUUUUCUCCUUAAGUAAUAUUCUGGAAAGGGAUAUUAAGUAACUGUGCUGGAAAGAAAAUCUUCCUCCUGUACUAGAAACAACCAAAGACAGCAAAAUCUAAUUUCCAAGCAUGAAAUUCAAAAAAAAGAACAAAAUGCAAUUCAGCAGAGAAAAAAAAAAAUGCAUGCUGUCACUUCUCAGUGGUGAGGACGAUAAUCUGAAACAGAUAUUAAAAGGGCAUAAGACAUCUGAACAUGAGAAUUGCUGAAACCGAGUGAGAAGCAUGCUGACUUGCUGGGGCUGAGUGAAAGUCCUUCUCCAGAGGAAGAAAAUAAAGGACAAAGAUGGACACGAAGAAGAUCAGAUCAUAGUUCAAGAAUGGGAAGACUGUGGCAAGGCUGGCUGAGCACUAGCCGAGGUGACCUUUCCAUUUUAGGUGAUUUUCAUAUAAGAACAUCCUGGACUGGCUUCCAGAACUUUAUUAGGUAAUAAAGGACAGGGGGAAGAAAGAAGG
This is a long non-coding RNA of Equus caballus (horse), 2600 nucleotides long. NCBI's taxonomy places the organism in Eukaryota, Metazoa, Chordata, Mammalia, Perissodactyla, Equidae. The record is from Ensembl.